GAAAUGCGAUAAGUAAUGUGAAUUGCAGAAUUCAGUGAAUCAUCGAAUCUUUGAACGCACAUUGCGCCCCCUGGUAUUCCGGGGGGCAUGCCUGUUCGAGCGUCAUUUCACCACUCAAGCCUCGCUUGGUAUUGGGCAACGCGGUCCGCCGCGUGCCUCAAAUCGACCGGCUGGGUCUUCUGUCCCCUAAGCGUUGUGGAAACUAUUUGCUAAAGGGUGUUCGGGAGGCUACGCCGUAAAACAACCCCAUUUCUAAGGUUGACCUCGGAUCAGGUAGGGAUACCCGCUGAACUUAAGC
RNAcentral lists this unclassified non-coding RNA (298 nucleotides) under plant metagenome. RNAcentral describes it as "partial contains 5.8S ribosomal RNA, internal transcribed spacer 2, and large subunit ribosomal RNA". The stretch from base 1 to 105 matches the Rfam family "5.8S ribosomal RNA", at positions 50 to 154 of the family's 154-position model. The record is from RNAcentral.